This 495-nucleotide ribosomal RNA is filed under the name uncultured bacterium. RNAcentral describes it as "partial 16S ribosomal RNA". It matches the Rfam family "Bacterial small subunit ribosomal RNA", at positions 28 to 507 of the family's 1533-position model. The record is from RNAcentral.
GACGAACGCUGGCGGCGUGCCUAAUACAUGCAAGUAGAACGCUGAAGGAGGAGCUUGCUCUUCUGGAUGAGUUGCGAACGGGUGAGUAACGCGUAGGUAACCUGCCUGGUAGCGGGGGAUAACUAUUGGAAACGAUAGCUAAUACCGCAUAAGAGUAGAUGUUGCAUGACAUUUACUUAAAAGGUGCAAUUGCAUCACUACCAGAUGGACCUGCGUUGUAUUAGCUAGUUGGUGGGGUAACGGCUUACCAAGGCGACGAUACAUAGCCGACCUGAGAGGGGGAUCGGCCACACUGGGACUGAGACACGGCCCAGACUCCUACGGGAGGCAGCAGUAGGGAAUCUUCGGCAAUGGACGGAAGUCUGACCGAGCAACGCCGCGGGAGUGAAGAAGGUUUUCGGAUCGUAAAGCUCUGUUGUAAGAGAAGAACGAGUGUGAGAGUGGAAAGUUCACACUGUGACGGUAUCUUACCAGAAAGGGACGGCUAACUACGUG